AUCAACUUUCGAUGGUAGGAUAGAGGCCUACCAUGGUGGUAACGGGUAACGGGGUGUUAGGGCACGACACCGGAGAGGGAGCCUGAGAAACGGCUACCACAUCCAAGGAUGGCAGCAGGCGCGCAAAUUACCCAAUCCCGACACGGGGAGGUAGUGACAAUAAAUAACAAUACGGGGUUCUUUCGGAUCUCGUAAUUGGAAUGAGUACAAUUUAAAUCUCUUAACGAGGAAUAAUUGGAGGGCAAGUCUGGUGCCAGCAGCCGCGGUAAUUCCAGCUCCAAUAGCGUAUAUUAAAGUUGUUGCAGUUAAAAAGCUCGUAGUUGAAUUUCGGGAUCAUCAGGUUGGUCGUGCCUCUGGUAUGUACUGAUUUCGAUGGUUCCUCCUUCUUGUAGAACCGUAAUGCCAUUAAUUUGGUGUUGCGGGAAAACAGGACUGUUACUUUGAAAAAAUUAGAGUGUUUAAAGCAGGCAAUCGCUUGAAUACAUUAGCAUGGAAUAAUGAAAUAGGACGUUUGAUCUUAUUUUGUUGGUUUCUAGGAUUGACGUAAUGAUUAAUAGGGAUAGUUGGGGGCAUUAGUAUUCAAUUGUCAGAGGUGAAAUUCUUGGAUUUAUUGAAGACUGACUACUGCGAAAGCAUUUGCCAAGGAUGUUUUCAUUAAUCAAGAACGAAAGUUAGGGGAUCGAAGACGAUCAGAUACCGUCGUAGUCUUAACCAUAAACUAUGCCGACUAGGGAU
RNAcentral lists this small RNA (735 nucleotides) under uncultured fungus. RNAcentral's name for it is "SSU rRNA". It matches the Rfam family "Eukaryotic small subunit ribosomal RNA", at positions 314 to 1053 of the family's 1831-position model. The record is from RNAcentral. Lineage: Eukaryota; Fungi.